GCUGGCGGCAGGCUUAACACAUGCAAGUCGAGCGGGGUGAUGGUGCUUGCACUAUCACCUAGCGGCGGACGGGUGAGUAAUGCUUAGGAAUCUGCCUAUUAGUGGGGGACAACAUUUCGAAAGGAAUGCUAAUACCGCAUACGUCCUACGGGAGAAAGCAGGGGAUCUUCGGACCUUGCGCUAAUAGAUGAGCCUAAGUCGGAUUAGCUAGUUGGUGGGGUAAAGGCCUACCAAGGCGACGAUCUGUAGCGGGUCUGAGAGGAUGAUCCGCCACACUGGGACUGAGACACGGCCCAGACUCCUACGGGAGGCAGCAGUGGGGAAUAUUGGACAAUGGGCGCAAGCCUGAUCCAGCCAUGCCGCGUGUGUGAAGAAGGCCUUAUGGUUGUAAAGCACUUUAAGCGAGGAGGAGGCUACUUUAGAUAAUACCUAGAGAUAGUGGACGUUACUCGCAGAAUAAGCACCGGCUAACUCUGUGCCAGCAGCCCGCGGUAAUACAGAGGGUGCAAGCGUUAAUCGGAUUUACUGGGCGUAAAGCGCGCGUAGGCGGCUAAUUAAGUCAAAUGUGAAAUCCCCGAGCUUAACUUGGGAAUUGCAUUCGAUACUGGUUAGCUAGAGUGUGGGAGAGGAUGGUAGAAUUCCAGGUGUAGCGGUGAAAUGCGUAGAGACUGGAGGAAUACCGAUGGCGAAGGCAGCCACUGGCCUAACACUGACGCUGAGGUGCGAAAGC
RNAcentral lists this ribosomal RNA (730 nucleotides) under Acinetobacter calcoaceticus. RNAcentral's name for it is "bacterial SSU rRNA". It matches the Rfam family "Bacterial small subunit ribosomal RNA", at positions 35 to 760 of the family's 1533-position model. Lineage: Bacteria; Pseudomonadati; Pseudomonadota; Gammaproteobacteria; Moraxellales; Moraxellaceae. The record is from RNAcentral.